UUUAUGGAGAGUUUGAUCCUGGCUCAGGAUGAACGCUGGCGGCGUGCCUAAUACAUGCAAGUCGAGCGAACAGACGAGGAGCUUGCUCCUUUGACGUUAGCGGCGGACGGGUGAGUAACACGUGGGUAACCUACCUAUAAGACUGGGAUAACUUCGGGAAACCGGAGCUAAUACCGGAUAAUAUUUCGAACCGCAUGGUUCG
Molecule: ribosomal RNA, 202 nt
Filed under: Staphylococcus hominis
Lineage: Bacteria; Bacillati; Bacillota; Bacilli; Caryophanales; Staphylococcaceae
Description: partial 16S ribosomal RNA
Rfam family: Bacterial small subunit ribosomal RNA
Source: RNAcentral